AUUGCAGUAUUAGUCGGCAAUUUUGAUACCUCAAGACUAUUGGCCUUUACAUUAUGGCCUACAGAGCCAAAGCCCACUAAAGGGAUAUCACCAUCUGGCCUUAUACUGGUGGAACCCCGUCCACCUAAAUUUGGGCCCUGACUUCCAACUAAUUUGUCUCCAGCAACAACACCAACGGAACCCAAGCCCAAACUCGUAAGCAACCUUCAUUGACAAACCAACUACCUUAGCGAAAACAUCAUGAGUUCCAACCUGUUCUCUAAACCAACCUUGCUCCCUCGGACCAAAUUACCAACACCUCCUUCUUCCUUAUUCGACCCUUUAGUCCCACCCCUCUCUUUUUAACUGCCUCCAUUUCGGAGCUUUUUAGGAAAUUCCCCUUUUUAAAGGUAAACCUUAAAAAUUUAGCCCUUAAAUAUUCACUUUUCUCUAUUCCAUCGACCCUCGAAGAUAACGCCCUAAAUCUAGACCCGCCCCCAUCGUUAGCCUAAAAUUUAGACACCGGUUUACGAGCUUCCUUUAAAUUCCGUCGAGGAUGUCUUUCAACGACCAUCUACGGACCAAACUUAUUCGAUUCAACCACCGGGACUCAUUGACUCCGAUUAAAUCUUUCACUCUGGUCUGGAACGAGCAAAGCUACUUAACAUGACCAUACUGCCCGCAAGAGAAACAAAUAGACUGUAAGGAUUCAUAUUCAAUUGACAUUUCAACGCUAUCCAUUCAUUUAUCCUUAAAUCAAACUUUUUUAGUACUACGGCAAUUUGCCGAACAACCACCGCCAUUCUCAAUGUUACCAUUGUUCACCAUUUCCUUUAUCAAUAAGAAAGAAGAUAUUAAUUUAAUUUAAUUACCAACUAUACCCAUUUUGAGUAUUAGGUUUGGGGCAGUUUUUAUAAUAAUCCUAAAACGAAUUAUUCAUUGUGGUUUCAAAUUAGUUUCUUCUCUUGGGUUUAUUUAAAAUCCCAAAACCCAGCAAAAGCCAUAAACCUAACCCUAACUAAAAGAAACACUGGUAAGGGGGAAAGGGAAAGGCAAAAAUGGCAUUCAGAGGGAAGGAGAUAAUGAAGAAGCUGUUGAAGAAGGUGAGAGAGAAAAACCUGGCACAUGGAGUUAAGGAACAACUUCAAAAAUCCAUCCCAGACAGCAAGGUCGUCAUAAACCUAGCCAAACACGGCCUUUACACUGGCCAUCACAUCUAGUUCGGUAAUCGUACCAGCGAAAACGGUGGAAACAAAUAUCCUCACUUUAUCUUCGCUACUUCUUUAAACUUCUUUUGUUUGAUUUAUUUGUUUAUUUUUGGUGAUUUGGAUCUUUGUUCUAGAACCCUAAAAUUAAUUCAAAUGUGAACAUGCUCUCUAUAGGUAUUUUGAUUUUCUGCUAUUAUUGGUUUUCUCUACUUUUAAAAGGUUUCGAUGAAAAUUCGUCCUCAUUGAGAUCACUAAUAAUAUGUUAUAUCGAGAUGUGAUAUAUCUUCGUAAGCAUGUAAUUUGUUCUAGUUCUUGGUUGCGAAAUUGGUUUUGUGCACUUCUAACUCUGAUAUCUAUGUCUGAAUUGGUGCAAAAGAGUAAGCAAAAUGGUUGCUCUGUGUUUUCAUGUUUGCUUGCACUUAAGAAUUUAUUCUAAGACAAUAUCGGCCAUGAUCAAAGAAGAGCAGAGAAGAUUAUUCGAAUAGCUAAUUCUUAGUAGUUGGAUUGAGGCUUUAAUUCAAUAAAUGAGCUUUUUCUCUACUGCAAUAAUAGUAAAUGAGAUUUUUUUGCUAUCUUGAAGUUGUGGCCGUUGUAUUCAUUGUGAAAUUUUAACAUCACAGAUCGAGAAGGAGUUGGAAGCCUAAUGUACAGGAAAAGCAUCUAUUUAGUUAUAUCUUAGAUCGCCCCAUUCGAGUAAAAGUAACCAGUCAUGCCCUCCGUCCACAUUUUUGUUUUGGCUACUCUGUAAGGGGAUAUUUGUUUUGGAUGAAUAAUUUGGUAGCAAAGCUUUAUAUAUUGUGGUACUUUUGGAAUUAAUGUUAUGAUAGACGCAUGUUGUCGACUACAUAGUUAAGGUAAAAAGGUGAUAUUAGUUGACUAAUGUAUGAUUGAACUUGGCUCUCUGUUGUAACUGAUCCUUAAAAAUGUGGCAUUCUUUUUAGCUGAUCAACACUAGGAAUCCAGAUGAACAUUUGCUGCUCUAUACAAGGAAGUCCACCUUAACAUCAGAUUAAUUUUCCUUCGCUUGGUAACAAUUGUAUUGGUGUAUAUGAUACAAAAUUUUUAUAUUUUAAACUGUUUUGAUGUUUAUUUUUAUUUUUAUUCUUAUAAUUACAUUUAUAAUUACAUUUAUAAAUAAAAUUUUGUUAUAAAAUAAAAUACAGAGAAUAAAUAACAAAAAGAAUGGAGAGAGCAAAGAGAGAGCGUAAAUCUAAUAACUAUUAGAAUUUAAAGUACAUUAAAACUUAUCUUGAUCUUAAUGGACACCCACUUAAAAACCUUACCAGGAAAACUCAAUGGGACAAAACUUCGGUUAAGGGAAAAAGAGUACAGUGUGUAUUUACUCCCCCUCAUGAAUAGGAAAACUCAAUGGGACAAAAUCUCGGUUAAGGGAAAAAGAGUACAGUGUGUAUUUACUCCCCCUCAUGAAAACAUCACAUAAUAUCUCAUAUUCUAUGUAUUCAAUCUUGAGUACUAGCUUUUCAAUUGACCAUUUGAAUGUAUUUGCUAAGCAUUUAUAUCAACAUUCUUUUGAAAGUCAUAAGUGAGGGAAAAUUUUGGGGGAAAUAUAUUUUGAUAUCAUCAGGAUUUUUAACAAUACAAAUAGGUAUUUUGGAUCAUUUUAUAAUCUUCUUUCAACUACUAUUGACUAAGUCAAAUUUACUACACAUGUUCAAUUAUUUCAAUUCAUAUAAAUGAACAAUUUCUUGAUAAUUUCAAAUAUGCUUCUGGCAUUCUAAAUCCUUCAAGGAUUUUAAAAUAAAUUUUAUUUUAUAGUGAUUCAUAAAAGGUUGUAACAACAACCAUUAGACGCAAGUUAAAUCUUUUAUGAACUGUUAGUUUAAUAAUAUAUCUAAAGGUUAUUGCAUCCACCACAAAAGAAUAUUAUAUCUUUUCAUAAUCAAUGAUAGGACUUAGCAGAAACUUCAUAUUUUAUUACGUUUUGCAAAACUAUUUCAUUUGCACUCUCACUGGCUUUAUACCUUUAGAUAUUUGGACUACUAGUUCAAAAACUCCACAAAUUUAAUUGUACUUGAGUUGCGUCUUUCUAUUUUGACCAAUUUAUUCCAUAUAUAUAAUCCUCAAUAGAUUUAUUUAAUAUCCUCCUUUUAUUUUAUUAUUUCAACAAUAAUAUUGCAUGCAAAACUAUUGUCGACCACUUUUAUUAUUGGUUCGACAUUUUCUAAAAUUGAUAUAACUUAUUGAGAUCUCUUAUUUUCACUAUUUUAAUCUUCAGUUUUAGGUACUUGAAUCUCUUCUGGAGUUUUACUUAUUAGUUAUGUCUUGGGUAUCUUCUGAAGCACCUGCCUUCACUAUAUGACCAUCUAGAUUUAUUAUUUUAUUUUAUAAGAAUUUUCAUAUUUGGAACUUGUAAUAAGUUAUCCUUGUUGAACUUCUGGUUCAAAUUACUCUCCCUCUAACUCAUUACAAGUUAUUAUUUCUCUCCCCCUAAUGUCGGGAAAACUAUCAAAUUAAAAUAGUAAUCACAAAUCAUGUCAUAAUUGAAUCUCUAACAUUUAAAACAUAUAAUAAUACAAAGAGACUCGUAAUUAAUAUAUAUUCCCAAAUUUCUUUAGGUAUUCACUCAUCUUUGUUGUGGUGGAGCAAUUGGAACAUAUACACACAUACAAUAAUUCAAAGAUGAGAAAUAUUUAGCUCUUAGCCAAAAAUCAAUUGUAAUGGGGAGUAUUUAUAACUUAUUGGUUUGAUGCGUACAACACGUAAAUCAACAUAAUCUCAUGUUGAAAUAGAAAGUUUAGUUGUAAUGUCCUGAAUAAUUUAUUUCUAUUUUUGUAAAUAUCUAACACAAAUGUGUAUUUGUGUUAGUGGUUAAGUGUUCUGGGGUGUGUGUGAGGUAUUGGAUUCAAGUCCCAGAUUUGUUAAUUUUGUUAUUUUUUAUCCAAGUCUUACCCUUGUUGAGUGGGCUUUUAUAAAAUUUUCUGUUAAUCUAUAUCAGAAUGAGUCUGCUGGUUCGAGUGGUAAAGGGGUGUGUUGUAUUGGAGGUCUUGUGUUUGAAUCCCUACGUAAAAAACAGUCGUGUGGUGGUGUGGGAGUGGCCGUGUGGGACACACGGGCAUGUGGGUUUUAGGCCAGGCCGUGUGGCCCACACGGGCAAGGCCAAUUUGGGCGUAUGGGCCCACACGGGCAUGUGGGCCCAUAUUUUUAAAAUUUUCCCUAGGUUCGCACAGGUCGUUUCGAUCGACUGUGGGCCUACCGUAAGGUCGGUAAGGGCUAACCAAACUUUAAACCUAUGUGAUCUGUUUGUCUGAUAUUCUGUUCUGAAUAUGAUACUGUUAUGAAUGUCUGAUUAGUCUGAUGUAUUUAUAUAUCUGAUAUCUGUAUAUGAGCAUGUGAGCAUGAUAACUCUGAUUAUAUAUAUCUGAUUGGGAUGGGAUUGGUAUAUGUGGAGGAAAUGUUCUGUAUAGCGAUCAUUGCCUAUAUUCUAGCAGCUUGGCUGCACUUUAUCUGACAUGUGCCGUAAUGGCUUGAUAUGAUGUGUAAGGAUGGUGGGUGUUUUUAACCCAACAUGGUGUGAUGGGAUGGUCAGAGUUGGUGUGUAGAGGAUGGGGUAGAUUCUGUAUUUCUGAUCUACUUUGUUAUUUGAAUCUGUAAAGGGCUUAUGUCCGAAUCUAAAUCUGUAUCUAACUGUGUAUGAGUUUACUGUAUGUAUUACAUGUCUAUUUCUGUUGAGUUACACACUGAGUUUACGAAAACUCACAUCUAUUUGUCUGUUCUGUUAAGGUAAUCCGCAGACUUAGACGAGUUGGUGUGACGGAGGCUCAGCGGUGACUACUCGAUCAAGAACUGUUUUACUUAGUAAAUUAUGUUUUUUUAUUUAUAAUUCUGGUUUUAUUUGAGAGUUUGUAAUUUUUGGGACUAUCUGGACCGUUG
Molecule: long non-coding RNA, 5078 nt
Filed under: Gossypium barbadense (sea-island cotton)
Lineage: Eukaryota; Viridiplantae; Streptophyta; Magnoliopsida; Malvales; Malvaceae
Description: long non-coding RNA (GBAR_LNC017110)
Source: RNAcentral